AUUGAACGCUGGCGGCAUGCUUUACACAUGCAAGUCGAACGGCAGCGAGGAGAAGCUUGCUUCUCUGUCGGCGAAUGGCGAACGGGUGAGUAUAGCAUCGGAACGUGCCAAGUAGUGGGGGAUAACCAAACGAAAGUUUGGCUAAUACCGCGUAAGCUCUAAGGAGGAAAGUAGGGGACCUAAAUAAGGCCUUACGCUAUUUGAUCGGCCGAUGUCGGAUUAGCUAGUUGGUGGGGUAAUGGCUCACCAAGGCAAUGAUCCGUAGCGGGUCUGAGAGGACGAUCCGCCACACUGGGACUGAGACACGGCCCAGACUCCUACGGGAGGCAGCAGUGGGGAAUUUUGGACAAUGGGGGAAACCCUGAUCCAGCCAUGCCGCGUGUAUGAAGAAGGCCUUAGGGUUGUAAAGUACUUUUGUUAGGGAAGAAAAGCUAGUUUUUAAUAAAAAUUAGUGAUGACGGUACCUAAAGAAUAAGCACCGGCUAACUACGUG
Molecule: ribosomal RNA, 493 nt
Filed under: uncultured bacterium
Lineage: Bacteria
Description: partial 16S ribosomal RNA
Rfam family: Bacterial small subunit ribosomal RNA
Source: RNAcentral